This is an RNA transcript of Cryptomeria japonica (Japanese cedar), 968 nucleotides long. RefSeq lists it as uncharacterized. Lineage: Eukaryota; Viridiplantae; Streptophyta; Pinopsida; Cupressales; Cupressaceae. The transcript has 3 exons. The record is from RefSeq and is a predicted model, not a curated record.
CAUUCAUGAGACUAUUAUGGAAGUAGCUUGUAAUGUAGUCUAGAUGUGUUUUUUUUUCCAAAUUAAAAGUAAUCUGACCAAAAGUCUCAACAGAUAAUGUUUUGUAAGCUUUAAUUUUCUAAACCCUGCCCAUACAUUAUUUUAAACCAAACAGAAAAUUUAUCUGAGAGGUCACAUGAAAGAGGUCCUCUCACUUAAAGGUAAACAGAGCCAGCAUCUCUGCUUUUGCACUAUUUUUCAAAUAGUUACCAUCCUUUAAAAAUUCUGAAUUCCAGAGAUAAUAUGUAUAGUCUGUUUUCUUAAUCAUUAAAUAUUCAAGCUCCUGUAGCCGCAAAGGAAAAUGAUCUCCAUUAAAAGGUAAUUUGAGCCUCUCUUUAGAAAGAAACAAAAUUCUAACGAGUCACAAUUUCUCAUAUUUUUGUAACAAUGAUUAUGGAGCAUCUAGAUUACUAGGGUACCUUGUCAAUGCAGAGAGGGGCAACAAAGGUCUGCCAUAUUCUGCUAAGAUCUGCUAACAAAAUGUUCUAGCUGUUUUGCACUGUCAGAGGGUAUGUAAGCCAGUUUUUCUGGUUGCAAAGAAAUUAUUGGAUGGAAGAGAGCUGGAAUUUUAUAAAUGGGAUGGAGAUCUUUCUGAAAUGCUAAAGAAUGUGAAGGAGAAGUUGAACAAAGUUGCUGAGGGCUGGUCUCGUCCAGAGAAAAAUCAGUGCUUGAGAGAAACAGCAAAGUCUUUCAAGUACUCUGAAAAUAUUGUUCGGUUGAUUAUAAAAUAAUAUAUCCAUUGAUGAUGGAAUUGUAAAGUACUAUAAACUUAUAUAAUGUUAGUUUAGCUUUCUGAAUUUUUCUUAUGAUAUGUACAAGUUGCUUCGUUAAUUCUUUUGAAUAAUUUUUUUUGAGUUUCUUUUGUAUUGAUGGAAAAUAUCAGAUUGAUGACGCAAAAUAUUCAAGGUGCCAAUCUCUAUAUUCUUAUA